AGCAGAGUGAUGGAGUGGUGGAGAAACUACAUAGGUUCCAGAUGAAAAGGUGCAUGUGUGUUCCAAUUAGCACAAGUGCA
Molecule: long non-coding RNA, 80 nt
Organism: Anguilla rostrata (American eel)
Lineage: Eukaryota; Metazoa; Chordata; Actinopteri; Anguilliformes; Anguillidae
Exons: 2
Source: RefSeq, a predicted model, not a curated record